Molecule: ribosomal RNA, 433 nt
Filed under: uncultured bacterium
Lineage: Bacteria
Description: partial 16S ribosomal RNA
Rfam family: Bacterial small subunit ribosomal RNA
Source: RNAcentral
AGCGAACGCUGGCGGCAGGCUUAACACAUGCAAGUCGAGCGGACCUUUCGGGGUCAGCGGCGGACGGGUGAGUAACGCGUGGGAACGUGCCUUCCGGUUCGGAAUAACCCUGGGAAACUAGGGCUAAUACCGGAUACGCCCUUAUGGGGAAAGGUUUACUGCCGGAAGAUCGGCCCGCGUCUGAUUAGCUAGUUGGUGGGGUAACGGCCUACCAAGGCGACGAUCAGUAGCUGGUCUGAGAGGAUGAUCAGCCACACUGGGACUGAGGCACGGCCCAGACUCCUACGGGAGGCAGCAGUGGGGAAUAUUGGACAAUGGGCCCAAGCCUGAUCCAGCCAUGCCGCGUGAGUGAUGAAGGCCUUAGGGUUGUAAAGCUCUUUUAUCCGGGACGAUAAUGACGGUACCGGAGGAAUAAGCCCCGGCUAACUUCGUG